UACGUAGGGUGCAAGCGUUGUCCGGAAUUAUUGGGCGUAAAGAGCGUGUAGGCGGCCUGGUAGGUCUGCUGUGAAAACUCGAGGCUCAACCUCGAGAUGUCGGCGGAAACCAUCUGGCUAGAGUCCGGAAGAGGAGAGUGGAAUUCCUGGUGUAGCGGUGAAAUGCGCAGAUAUCAGGAAGAACACCUAUGGCGAAGGCAGCUCUCUGGGACGGUACUGACGCUGAGACGCGAAAGCGUGGGGAGCGAACAGG
This 253-nucleotide ribosomal RNA is filed under the name uncultured bacterium. RNAcentral describes it as "partial 16S ribosomal RNA". It matches the Rfam family "Bacterial small subunit ribosomal RNA", at positions 524 to 776 of the family's 1533-position model. The record is from RNAcentral.